GAUAACAGUGCAAUCCUAUUUGAAAGCCCAUAUCAAAAAUUGGGGUUUACGACUUCGAUGUUGAAUCAGGACAUCCAAAUGGUGCAACCGCUAUUAAAGGUUGGUUUGUUCAAUGGUUAAAGUCCUACGUGAUCUGAGUUCAGACUGGAGAAAUCCAGGUC
This is a non-coding RNA of Sarcophilus harrisii (Tasmanian devil), 161 nucleotides long. Lineage: Eukaryota; Metazoa; Chordata; Mammalia; Dasyuromorphia; Dasyuridae. The record is from Rfam.